GAAACAUCUAAGUACCCCGAGGAAAAGAAAUCAACCGAGAUUCCCCCAGUAGCGGCGAGCGAACGGGGAGGAGCCCAGAGCCUGAAUCAGCAUGUGUGUUAGUGGAAGCGUCUGGAAAGGCGCGCGAUACAGGGUGACAGCCCCGUACACAAAAGCGCAUGUGCUGUGAGCUCGAUGAGUAGGGCGGGACACGUGGUAUCCUGUCUGAAUAUGGGGGGACCAUCCUCCAAGGCUAAAUACUCCUGACUGACCGAUAGUGAACCAGUACCGUGAGGGAAAGGCGAAAAGAACCCCGGCGAGGGGAGUGAAAAAGAACCUGAAACCGUGUACGUACAAGCAGUGGGAGCACCCUUCGGGGUGUGACUGCGUACCUUUUGUAUAAUGGGUCAGCGACUUAUAUUCUGUAGCAAGGUUAACCGUAUAGGGGAGCCGGAGGGAAACCGAGUCUUAAUUGGGCGUUAAGUUGCAGGGUAUAGACCCGAAACCCGGUGAUCUAGCCAUGGGCAGGUUGAAGGUUGGGUAACACUAACUGGAGGACCGAACCGACUAAUGUUGAAAAAUUAGCGGAUGACCUGUGGCUGGGGGUGAAAGGCCAAUCAAACCGGGAGAUAGCUGGUUCUCCCCGAAAGCUAUUUAGGUAGCGCCUCGUGAAUUCAUCUCCGGGGGUAGAGCACUGUUUCGGCUAGGGGGCCAUCCCGGCUUACCAACCCGAUGCAAACUGCGAAUACCGGAGAAUGUUAUCACGGGAGACACACGGCGGGUGCUAACGUCCGUCGUGAAGAGGGAAACAACCCAGACCGCCAGCUAAGGUCCCAAAGUCAUGGUUAAGUGGGAAACGAUGUGGGAAGGCCCAGACAGCCAGGAUGUUGGCUUAGAAGCAGCCAUCAUUUAAAGAAAGCGUAAUAGCUCACUGGUCGAGUCGGCCUGCGCGGAAGAUGUAACGGGGCUAAACCAUGCACCGAAGCUGCGGCAGCGAACGUAUCACCCAAGACAACUUUACGGAGUUGACGAUUGACGGAGCGAAGCGACGUCAAAGCGUUCAUUAAAGUCGAGUUGGCUUAGGGAUACGUUCGUUGGGUAGGGGAGCGUUCUGUAAGCCUGUGAAGGUGUGUCGUGAGGCAUGCUGGAGGUAUCAGAAGUGCGAAUGCUGACAUAAGUAACGAUAAAGCGGGUGAAAAGCCCGCUCGCCGGAAGACCAAGGGUUCCUGUCCAACGUUAAUCGGGGCAGGGUGAGUCGACCCCUAAGGCGAGGCCGAAAGGCGUAGUCGAUGGGAAACGGGUUAAUAUUCCCGUACUUGGUGUUACUGCGAAGGGGGGACGGAGAAGGCUAUGUUGGCCGGGCGACGGUUGUCCCGGUUUAAGCGUGUAGGUGUGUGUUCCAGGUAAAUCCGGUUCACUUUAACACUGAGGCGUGACGACGAGGCACUACGGUGCUGAAGCAACAAAUGCCCUGCUUCCAGGAAAAGCCUCUAAGCAUCAGGUAACAUCAAAUCGUACCCCAAACCGACACAGGUGGUCAGGUAGAGAAUACCAAGGCGCUUGAGAGAACUCGGGUGAAGGAACUAGGCAAAAUGGUGCCGUAACUUCGGGAGAAGGCACGCUGACACGUAGGUGAAGUGAUUUACUCAUGGAGCUGAAGUCAGUCGAAGAUACCAGCUGGCUGCAACUGUUUAUUAAAAACACAGCACUGUGCAAACACGAAAGUGGACGUAUACGGUGUGACGCCUGCCCGGUGCCGGAAGGUUAAUUGAUGGGGUCAGCGCAAGCGAAGCUCCUGAUCGAAGCCCCGGUAAACGGCGGCCGUAACUAUAACGGUCCUAAGGUAGCGAAAUUCCUUGUCGGGUAAGUUCCGACCUGCACGAAUGGCGUAAUGAUGGCCAGGCUGUCUCCACCCGAGACUCAGUGAAAUUGAACUCGCUGUGAAGAUGCAGUGUACCCGCGGCAAGACGGAAAGACCCCGUGAACCUUUACUAUAGCUUGACACUGAACAUUGAGCCUUGAUGUGUAGGAUAGGUGGG
RNAcentral lists this ribosomal RNA (2018 nucleotides) under Salmonella enterica subsp. enterica serovar Typhimurium. RNAcentral's name for it is "partial 23S ribosomal RNA". It matches the Rfam family "Bacterial large subunit ribosomal RNA", at positions 195 to 2151 of the family's 2925-position model. Lineage: Bacteria; Pseudomonadati; Pseudomonadota; Gammaproteobacteria; Enterobacterales; Enterobacteriaceae. The record is from RNAcentral.